AGGAAUUCCUGGUGUGUUUUGAGAGCUGGGCACCAGGCUCCUCCAGCCCCUGGCCUCUCUUCUCUCUUCAUUCCCCUGGCUGUCUCGCUCUGCCUUCCUGCUGGAAACUGCCCAGGUUUGUGGCUGGAACUCUGUUUCUAGAGACAGAGAAACUGAGAUCAAAGUCAGGGGAGGGAAGAGUGAAGCGGCUAUCUCAGCUCACACGGGGACUGCUCCUACAACUGUCGCAUCUCGGUGGGAAGCAGAUGAGAGAAGCCAGACACCAUCGGUACUCACACGUGAGUGUGCCGGUAUGAAAUGUUGGAGAGAGGCAGGAGAGACAGAGAUGAGUGGCUACCAGAAGCUGUGGGAGGAAAGGAAUCAGAGGUGACAGCUAAUGGGUCUGGGAUCUCACUCUGGGAUGAUGCGGAUAUUCUGGAAUUAAAUCAUGGUGAUGGUUGUGCAAUUCUGUAAAGAACUAAAAGCUGAAAUGGGGGAAGUGCGGGCAUACGGAUUACAUCCCAACACAAUUUAUAUGAGUGCAUCAGCGUCAUCUCACUAAACACAUCAUGAGUUGAAAACAGUAGGAACGAACAGUUAGUGCUGCACUGGUGCUGCCCAAUGUCUCAGCCAGGUGGCACGGCUCUCUAGUGUGCUUCCCCCGCCCCCCCCGACUGUGACUCUGGAGCUGACCCCGGGCAUGGUGUCUCUGCCCAGUGCAGAGAGAGACUUAAAUUUAUCACCAGCCUGGGAAAAGUUUUUGAUGGGACAGUGGAAGCCCAGUGCAUUCAUAAGGUUGAAAAUGUCUAGGAGGAACAAUUGUACUCAUGAGGGCCCCAAGACAGUUUGUGUACUCUGGUGAGAGCAGUCCAGACCCUGGUGCAGAAGCAAUUCGUGGGAGAAGCUCCCUGGAGGUCAUUUCUGUGGUACUUUGUAGUUCUUGUUGGUUAAGUUCUGUACACCUCAGAGUCUUUGGGGCUCACUAAUAUGCUCCUUAAGAACUGAGGAUCCCCUAAGUUCCUGAUCUUUCUGACUUCCAUGGAGAGGGGUGAGGUCUGGUGUGGCGAGGAUAAAGCCCUUAGUUCUUAGCUCUGUGUCAAACACUCCAUGGGCCUGCUUGGCCUAGGCCUGGACUCAGCCAAAACCCACAGACUUAAGCUCUCAGCCAUUGUUAUUGCCAACUCUGACCACUGUUGCUCAUCCCUGGCCCUCCACAUCCUCCCUGGACCCGGAUGAGGGAUCAGGGCUGUGUGAGGCUUGGCAAGUGAGGUCAGAGACUGGGUAGCAAAGAGGCGUGCACUGCCGAGUUCUAUGAAGCAGAGCCUUCACAUCUGAACUAUGAAGCCUGGGCUUUUUUGGCUUCCUACAUCAGUGAGCCAUUAUCUGCUAGCCAUUAUCAUGAGCUAGCGUGAGUUCCUAUGGCACGUAGGCAAUAUCUUUUUUUCACUCGCCCCUGACUGCCCUGGCCAGGGAAGAUAGGUGCAGAAUUGACUGAUUUCCUGAGGCCGACCAGGAACUCUCCGCACGGAUCUUCCCGGAGUCAAGAGAGGGGCCUAUGUAGUGGGAGAAGAGUAGACAGUGCCACAUCUAGUUCUGACUGCUGAGAUUGUGGUUCCAGUCCCUGGCUUCUCUAGGAUCAUACACUUAUUGUGCUCUGCACAGUGGUUUGUCAUGCCUACAUGUUUAUCCUCUGGGGCAGGAGUCUCCCUCGGGCACUUCAGAGGCAGGGUACAGAGUGUGGACUGUAGGCUGAUAAAAGGAAUGUCACCUGAGAAGUGGAAUGUCUCAAUGUCUCCUGAUAUCUGCCCGGACAUUUGAGUCCUGUGUAGCCGGAGGGUAGAGAAUGAGCAGGAUAGAAUAGACGGAGCCAGCAGGACAGACAGGGGCCAGAUUAUCAAGGGUCUUGCAAGCCAUUUAUGUGAACAUGUAGCUUUAUCCUACGAGGGGUGGGGCAUAUAAAAGGUUACCUUGUGGAGAGUAGCAUCAUCACCAUCCCCACCAUAACCACCAACCUCUGUAACCGCGUCAUCACCAGCCAUCAUCCCUGCCACUACCACCAUCAUCGCCACCAUCGCCACCAUUAUGAACACCGUCACUGCCGUUAUUACCAUCACAGAUGACAUAUGUUCUGUCAAGAAUGUACCAGGCUCUGUUCUAAACACUCUCCCACAUGAGCCCUGUUGGCAGUUCUCUGACUUGAUUGAUGCUGUUGCUCAUUCCAAUUUCAAAGCUGCCAUAACAUGGAUGAACAUCAAACGGGAGCCCAGGGCAGAACCAGAAUCGACUCCACAUCUCCCUGACUCUGAAACCUGAGCCCCCGAGAACUGAUCCUACGAAUGAAGAAUGAGAAUUAGGGAGAUGGCUGAUGUCAGAGGUGAGAAGCAGUAAGGCAUGAUGAUUGGUCCCAGAAAGACUCAGGAGACACAAGGGGGCAGAACCGGAAAGGAAUGCUUAUCUAUUCGGGGAUGAAGAAAGUGGGGUGCAGUGAACACCGAGCCCUAGGUUUCUGGAAUGAACAGACUGGGCAGCACUGUUUGUGGACUCACAGGAUGAAGUUUUGGUGGAUGAACGAGUGGAUGAAGGAAGACAUGGAGAGUGGAGGUGGACCUGAAUGGAAUGUACGGAGAUCCCCAUCUCAUACACAAGCAGCGGCUUUCAUGUUGAUACCAUGUGGGAUGCUCUUGAUUUGAGGUAAGGGUCAAAUGUAAGUAUUUCAUGGAAAUGGAUGAUUGGACUUGGCCAUCCCUGGCACUCUAUACUAUGACAUCGAAAAGGGGUUCGGUAACGAGCUGUCUGUGGAGGAAACAGCAUGGAGGAAAACACCAAAACAACAUUUUCUGAAAAAUUAUAAUACGAUUUGUUUAAUAUAUUUAAAUGUGCAUAUUUCAAUGCAUAUUAAUAAGUGUACAAAUUGUGUGUUGUGAGUCAUGCUUCCCCCACUCCUAACUCAUAAGGGACACACUUGGAGACCACUGAUCUUCUCCACGACAGAAGCCUCAGGAAGAGACUGUGCUCCGCAUCUCCUGAGACUUUCAACUGCCGGAGUCAGGAUCCCAGGUCAGGGCUCAGGGCUUCAGGAAGUGUGACACAGUCAAACGCUAUGCAGAACUCAUCUGUUUAUUCCAGUGCGCAGAAGAGGUGAGUGUUUACGCGGAGCCUCCCUUCUCAUCGGGAGCCCCAUCACUUCCUCUGCACACGCUCUCACAGGACACGACUUCUCACCAGGCUGUCCACACAAGCAUACAGGGGGCUUUCCUCCAGCAGAGACCCAGGUGGAGACCCUUCAGCCACCCCGAGGAGGCCAGGCUGUGUUCCUGGAGCCCACAGCCCACCAACGUCUCUUCUGAGGACUGGGCCCUGCUUAUCAUUUAUAGUAUGUUAUAGUAUGGCCAUGGCUGGGUUCCAUUCUAGCACAGAAUCCUAGCAUCCGCUUCUUACAUCACCUGUUUUCCUUUCCUGGCUACAAGUGUUAAGUUUACUGGGGGGCAAGGGGAGGGGUGGAAAAGGGAUUGCCCCAGGUCUUCUCUGUCGGGGUUCAAGGUGUUUUGUUGUUGUUGUGUUGUUUUUGCCAAGUAAAGCGCUCCCUUUGUAA
Alexandromys fortis (reed vole) is the source of this 3571-nucleotide long non-coding RNA. RefSeq lists it as uncharacterized. NCBI's taxonomy places the organism in Eukaryota, Metazoa, Chordata, Mammalia, Rodentia, Cricetidae. The transcript is spliced from 2 exons. The record is from RefSeq and is a predicted model, not a curated record.